UACGGCCCAGACUCCUACGGGAGGCAGCAGUGGGGAAUAUUGCACAAUGGGCGCAAGCCUGAUGCAGCGACGCCGCGUGAGGGAUGACGGCCUUCGGGUUGUAAACCUCUUUCAAUAGGGACGAAGCGCAAGUGACGGUACCUAUAGAAGAAGGACCGGCCAACUACGUGCCAGCAGCCGCGGUAAUACGUAGGGUCCGAGCGUUGUCCGGAAUUACUGGGCGUAAAGAGCUCGUAGGUGGUUUGUCGCGUUGUCCGUAAAAACUCACAGCUCAACUGUGGGCGUGCGGGCGAUACGGGCAGACUGGAGUACUGCAGGGGAGACUGGAAUUCCUGGUGUAGCGGUGGAAUGCGCAGAUAUCAGGAGGAACACCGGUGGCGAAGGCGGGUCUCUGGGCAGUAACUGACGCUGAGGAGCGAAAGCGUGGGGAGCGAACAGGAUUAGAUACCCUGGUAGUCCACGCCGUAAACGGUGGGUACUAGGUGUGGGUUUCCUUCCCUGGGAUCCGUGCCGUAGCUAACGCAUUAAGUACCCCGCCUGGGGAGUACGGCCGCAAGGCUAAAACUCAAAGAAAUUGACGGGGGCCCGCACAAGCGGCGGAGCAUGUGGAUUAAUUCGAUGCAACGCGAAGAACCUUACCUGGGUUUGACAUGCACAGGACGACUGCAGAGAUGUGGUUUCCCUUGUGGCCUGUGUGCAGGUGGUGCAUGGCUGUCGUCAGCUCGUGUCGUGAGAUGUUGGGUUAAGUCCCGCAACGAGCGCAACCCUUGUCCUAUGUUGCCAGCGGGUUAUGCCGGGGACUCGUAGGAGACUGCCGGGGUCAACUCGGAGGAAGGUGGGGAUGACGUCAAGUCAUCAUGCCCCUUAUGUCCAGGGCUUCGCACAUGCUACAAUGGCCGGUACAAAGGGCUGCGAAGCCGUGAGGUGGAGCGAAUCCUUUAAAGCCGGUCUCAGUUCGGAUCGGGGUCUGCAACUCGACCCCGUGAAGUCGGAGUCGCUAGUAAUCGCAGAUCAGCAACGCUGCGGUGAAUACGUUCCCGGGCCUUGUACACACCGCCCGUCACGUCAUGAAAGUCGGCAACACCCGAAGCCCGUGGCCUAACCCGUAAGGGAGGGAGCGGUCGAAGGUGGGAUCGGCGAUUGGGACGAAGUCGAAACAAGGUAGCCGUACCGGAAGGUGCGGCUG
Molecule: ribosomal RNA, 1186 nt
Filed under: metagenome
Description: bacterial SSU rRNA
Rfam family: Bacterial small subunit ribosomal RNA
Source: RNAcentral